GAUGAACGCUGGCGGCGUGCCUAACACAUGCAAGUCGAGCGAAGCGCUUAAAUUAGAUUUCUUCGGAAUGACGAUUUUUGUGACUGAGCGGCGGACGGGUGAGUAACGCGUGGGUAACCUGCCUCAUACAGGGGGAUAACAGUUAGAAAUGACUGCUAAUACCGCAUAAGACCCCAGCUUCGCAUGGAGCGGUGGUAAAAACUCCGGUGGUAUGAGAUGGACCCGCGUCUGAUUAGCUAGUUGGUAAGGUAACGGCUUACCAAGGCGACGAUCAGUAGCCGACCUGAGAGGGUGACCGGCCACAUUGGGACUGAGACACGGCCCAGACUCCUACGGGAGGCAGCAGUGGGGAAUAUUGCACAAUGGGGGAAACCCUGAUGCAGCGACGCCGCGUGAAGGAUGAAGUAUUUCGGUAUGUAAACUUCUAUCAGCAGGGAAGAAAGUGACGGUACCUGACUAAGAAGCCCCGGCUAACUACGUG
RNAcentral lists this ribosomal RNA (481 nucleotides) under uncultured bacterium. RNAcentral describes it as "partial 16S ribosomal RNA". It matches the Rfam family "Bacterial small subunit ribosomal RNA", at positions 28 to 507 of the family's 1533-position model. The record is from RNAcentral.